CCUGCCCUUGGGAGGGGAACAACAGCUGGAAACGGCUGCUAAUACCCCAUAGGCUGAGGAGCAAAAGGAGGAAUCCGCCCAAGGAGGGGCUCGCGUCUGAUUAGUUAGUUGGUGAGGCAAUGGCUUACCAAGGCGACGAUCAGUAGCUGGUCCGAGAGGAUGAUCAGCCACACUGGGACUGAGACACGGCCCAGACUCCUACGGGAGGCAGCAGUGGGGAAUUUUCCGCAAUGGGCGAAAGCCUGACGGAGCAAUGCCGCGUGAAGGUAGUAGGCCCACGGGUCAUGAACUUCUUUUCUCGGAGAAGAAAAAAUGACGGUAUCUGAGGAAUAAGCAUCGGCUAACUCUGUGCCAGCAGCCGCGGUAAGACAGAGGAUGCAAGCGUUAUCCGGAAUGAUUGGGCGUAAAGCGUCUGUA
This 417-nucleotide ribosomal RNA is filed under the name uncultured organism. RNAcentral's name for it is "bacterial SSU rRNA". It matches the Rfam family "Bacterial small subunit ribosomal RNA", at positions 125 to 573 of the family's 1533-position model. The record is from RNAcentral.